AGGGCACCACCAGGAGUGGAGCCUGCGGCUUAAUUUGACUCAACACGGGAAAACUCACCCGGCCCGGACACUGGAAGGAUUGACAGAUUGAGAGCUCUUUCUUGAUUCAGUGGGUGGUGGUGCAUGGCCGUUCUUAGUUGGUGGAGUGAUUUGUCUGGUUAAUUCCGAUAACGAACGAGACUCUAGCCUACUAAAUAGAUCGUCGGCUUACAAACGCCGGCGAGACUUCUUAGAGGGACAGGCGGUGAUUCAACCGCACGAAACAGAGCAAUAACAGGUCUGUGAUGCCCUUAGAUGUCCGGGGCCGCACGCGCGCUACACUGAAGUGAUCAGCGUGCUUUUUCAACCUACUCUGUCAAGAGUGGGGAACCCAAUGAACCUUCUUCGUGAUUGGGAUAGGGGAUUGUAAUUAUUCCCCUUGAACGAGGAAUUCCCAGUAAGCGCGAGUCAUAAGCUCGCGUUGAUUACGUCCCUGCCCUUUGUACACACCGCCCGUCGCUACUACCGAUUGAAUGUUAU
Molecule: ribosomal RNA, 519 nt
Filed under: uncultured eukaryote
Lineage: Eukaryota
Description: SSU rRNA
Rfam family: Eukaryotic small subunit ribosomal RNA
Source: RNAcentral